This 464-nucleotide ribosomal RNA is filed under the name uncultured bacterium. RNAcentral describes it as "bacterial SSU rRNA". It matches the Rfam family "Bacterial small subunit ribosomal RNA", at positions 27 to 486 of the family's 1533-position model. The record is from RNAcentral.
GAUUGAACGCUGGCGGCAUGCCUUACACAUGCAAGUCGAACGGCAGCACGGGAGCAAUCCUGGUGGCGAGUGGCGAACGGGUGAGUAAUACAUCGGAACGUGCCCAGUCGUGGGGGAUAACUACUCGAAAGAGUAGCUAAUACCGCAUACGACCUGAGGGUGAAAGCGGGGGAUCGCAAGACCUCGCGCGAUUGGAGCGGCCGAUGUCAGAUUAGCUAGUUGGUGGGGUAAAGGCCUACCAAGGCUACGAUCUGUAGUUGGUCUGAGAGGACGACCAGCCACACUGGGACUGAGACACGGCCCAGACUCCUACGGGAGGCAGCAGUGGGGAAUUUUGGACAAUGGGCGCAAGCCUGAUCCAGCAAUGCCGCGUGCAGGAAGAAGGCCUUCGGGUUGUAAACUGCUUUUGUCAGGGAAGGAAUCCUCUGGGUUAAUACCUCGGGGGGAUGACGGUACCUGAAGAA